CUUCAAAGUACUUGUUAGAAGAUGGGGUCAUCGAGGAACCUCCGUUGUUGCUGGACUUCUUCCGGGAACUUCGCAAUUACAACUGAAAACGAGGGUGACAAGUUUGGAUGCGACAACAAGUUAAAAAAAGGACAGAACAUGGACACAAUGCAAUUGGGAUCAAGAAGAAGGUACAGAUAUGUGAUCUUCUCAGAAAUUAAUCAAGUUCAUGGAAUGGAUAUAGACACAGAUAAUUCAAGGACUAUCCGAGGUAGAGAGGCGAGGCAGGGGUGAGGACCUGCUAUCAUCCUGCUAUUUUGACAGUCCCUGAAGAACAAUACAGAAGAGGUAUUUGCUCUUAUUCCUUCCCUUUCUCUAAUGCAUUUUGUAAUA
This is a long non-coding RNA of Oncorhynchus keta (chum salmon), 372 nucleotides long. RefSeq lists it as uncharacterized. The transcript has 3 exons. The record is from RefSeq and is a predicted model, not a curated record. Lineage: Eukaryota; Metazoa; Chordata; Actinopteri; Salmoniformes; Salmonidae.